GCUGCAAAUCCCUCCCACUCACCAAACUGCUGCCGCCUGCAAUUCCACAAUGAGCACUUUAGUCAUCAAAUCAUAAAAUGUCAGCUUGUAAUUAGCCUUGGAACCUGUCUAGUUCAAUUUCCCAGCUCAGAGUGCUCUUGGAAGAUACCUGAACGGGCCCUUUAUUUUAGAGUGAAUUAGUGGCAGAGCUGGAACUCGAGUCUGACCCUGCACAGUGAAGGACGCUAGAGGCAUCUGCAGCUUCUUCAAUGGGAAGUUUCCUCAUCUGGAAAAAGUGAACAGCGAUACCACGUCCCAGGGUUAAGAGGAGGAUCCAUCGAGAUGGGGAAGAGUCUGCAUAUAGCAGCAGCUGCAGAAGUUAUAUUCGUUGGGGCAUCAUAUGCCUUUUUGAAAUUAUGUGUAUUGGUAGGUUAUAUGAUGUGUGAAUUUUCUUGGAAGAUAAAGAAAAAAAGUAAAAUGAUGUUGGAUCCAAUGGGACCAAGAGCCACCAGCACAGUGGAUAGAAACAAAGGCCCUGUACUGAAUCCUGCCCUGCCUCCUAAUUAGCUAGGACCUUGCAUAUGAGCAUGAACAUCAGCUCUUA
RNAcentral lists this long non-coding RNA (583 nucleotides) under Homo sapiens (human). RNAcentral's name for it is "HSALNT0050888". The record is from RNAcentral. Lineage: Eukaryota; Metazoa; Chordata; Mammalia; Primates; Hominidae.